Molecule: non-coding RNA, 31 nt
Filed under: Mus musculus (house mouse)
Lineage: Eukaryota; Metazoa; Chordata; Mammalia; Rodentia; Muridae
Source: RNAcentral
UGACUGAUUAAGAAAAUCACUGCUGAGAAGG